Molecule: long non-coding RNA, 1423 nt
Organism: Panicum virgatum (switchgrass)
Lineage: Eukaryota; Viridiplantae; Streptophyta; Magnoliopsida; Poales; Poaceae
Exons: 3
Source: RefSeq, a predicted model, not a curated record
UUCUGUGCCUCUGUUCCCGUUCCCCCUGCUGAACACUUCACUGCUCAUCCUUUGCUUCCCAUUUCCGGCCGCCGGAAUGCCGGAUUCCACUCUCUCCCCCCUCCGCUGUCCGUGCCCGUGUUCUUGCCGCGGCCGUGCUCGCGGGCUCAUCCGUACGGCUCCCACCCUACGUGAUCGCUGCGCCCCCGGAGGACCGGACUCCGGGAGCAUCUGCGUCUGCAUCCCAUCGCCUUCCGUCUCGAGCUACUCCGGCUUGUUGGUGGUUUAAGGUGUAUCCCCCUUCCAUUCCUCCUCGGCGUCUACGGCAGCUCGCAAGAUCUGCCCGCGCUGGACGUUGCGGCCGUUACAGAGAUGAAGGUAUAGUGAUCCCUGGGUGCAGGAAUUCUAUAAUAAACAGAGCGCAGCCUAAUUUAUGAUAACGAACAAACAUCAGAAGAUAUAUUUUAGGGAUACCUCGUGCAGAAUUGUCUUGGCUGAUGUGAGAUGCUCCCUUUGAUCAGCACGACAAUCAAUACAGAAUUGCCUCAACAGUUGUGCUAUGGCAGUUCGAUAUGAUUUGUUGCUCCUAUCAGCAAGCAUAUCGGAGAGCUUCUGAACAACUGAAUGAGCUGUCCCUGUGUUGCCAUUCAUGAUCGUCGCACAAUACGACGUACAAGCUAUUGCCAACAAUGCCAGUGCUUUCCCUGCAGUUUUCCUGAGAUAACUCUCAUUGUGAUCAUUGAAGAAUAAUCCUAUCAAGAAAUUGAUGAAAUUAACCAUGGCUUCAUCUCCAACAGUGUCUCUGGUGGUAUUAGCCAAAGCUAGCUUUGCGCAGUGAUCUUGGAGAAGAGACUCUUGGUUUCAUAUAUCUUUGAGCAGUUGUCCGGAUUUCCAGCAAGCUUGGCAAGGAUCAUCAGGCCAUGAAUUAUCAGAGGUUUGCUCUUUUCUCCAUCGGAUGUGUUGGGAGACUGGUUUCUUUCCUGUUGGUCAACGUCAAUUGUUAUCUGCUGACCAUUGCUAACAGUGUUAGCUGUUGUUGAUAUCUUCACCAAAUAGGGGUCCAACAAGGAUGAUAUGGACUCGGUUGCUCUGUCUAUGUCACUUAACCUCAAAUCGCUAGCAAGCAGUGUGACAAUCUGUGCUAGGUGUACUUUGCUCUCUUCACCAAUGGUACUUUUUGAGCUGAGCAGAGCAAGCAUCGUGGCAAUACAAUCAGGUGAGGAUUGAAUGUGGGCAAGCGCUCUUGCUUUAUGAGCUUGAGGGGCAUCUUUGUAUGUCAACGUGUGGAGCACUAGGACUCCAGAAAUGCGGUCUUGACUAUACUUGGAUUGCAGCAAAUCUACUGCAAAGGUAACCAGUUUCCUGUUGAUGGUGUUCAACACCCCUGUUUUGAUGCAGGCACUUGAGGUUCUGUUGAUAUAUUUAUCAAUCAGUUUCUUGUCCA